Molecule: ribosomal RNA, 252 nt
Filed under: uncultured bacterium
Lineage: Bacteria
Description: partial 16S ribosomal RNA
Rfam family: Bacterial small subunit ribosomal RNA
Source: RNAcentral
UACGGAGGGUGCAAGCGUUAUCCGGAAUUAUUGGGCGUAAAGCGAGUCUAGGCGGCUUGUUAAGUCAGAUGUGAAAAUGCGGGGCUCAACUCCGUAUUGCGUUUGAAACUGGCAGACUAGAGUUUUGGAGAGGGGAGUGGAAUUCCAGGUGUAGCGGUGAAAUGCGUAGAUAUCUGGAGGAACAUCAGUGGCGAAGGCAGUCUACUACGUAUAUACUGACGCUCAUGGACGAAAGCGUGGGGAGCGAACAGG